AAAGAACUUUAAUCAUAGGGCCACCAAAUGAGGAGAGGGGAGGGAGCCUCAGAUUCCUCUCCCUGAGGUUAGGGUUUUUUAAGGAUUUUGGAGUGGACUGAAUAGUGAAGAAUACUGAUUGGUUGAAGAGUGCAGGGUGAAGUCAUGGGACAGGAAGAUGAAGAAACUGUAUUUUUUCCUGAUUUGAUUCCUCUGUGGGUGUCUUCCAACUGACUGGCUUCAGCCAUUCCCCUGGAAUUUGGGAUUUCAAAAACAUCUUAAGUAAUGCUUACACAAAAGCCUUAUAAUUCUGUUAGAGAUCUUGCCUAAGGAACAGUGAGGAUGCAAACUGUCAGUAUCUAGUGCUCUGUGACUUUUGGCAAUAAGGAAGUGGGCCAAAGUGCAGCAUGACUGAUGUUUAAUUAUAACCAUACUUCUGUUUGGAAUUUUUGCUAACCCUGUGAAGAAGGCUUCCCUUGCUUAUUGGCUGAAGGUCUACAAGGACUUGAUUCACAUAUCUGAUCAUACCUGGAGUCCAGACUUCCUCCUGAUGCCUGUACUUUGA
RNAcentral lists this long non-coding RNA (544 nucleotides) under Callithrix jacchus (white-tufted-ear marmoset). RNAcentral's name for it is "lncRNA (ENSCJAG00000077869.1)". Lineage: Eukaryota; Metazoa; Chordata; Mammalia; Primates; Cebidae. The record is from RNAcentral.